GGGCGAAUAGCUCAGUUGGUUAGAGCACCUGCCUUACACGCAGGGGGCCACAGGUUCGAGUCCUGUUUCGCCCACCA
Molecule: transfer RNA, 77 nt
Filed under: bacterium
Lineage: Bacteria
Also listed under: 3 other names
Description: tRNA-Val
Rfam family: tRNA
About the family: Transfer RNA (tRNA) molecules are approximately 80 nucleotides in length. Their secondary structure includes four short double-helical elements and three loops (D, anti-codon, and T loops).
Source: RNAcentral